GAUCCCGUUUUAGUACCAUUCAUUCCCUUCACCACGAAUGACUGGCUAUGCUAAUGGGAGAGAGAAAUGCUGUCAUUGUCUGGAGGAGGGGUUUGCCUUUUCCACCUCUCUUAUAUGAAAUGACAGUACAUUGCAUU
Molecule: small nucleolar RNA, 137 nt
Organism: Megalops cyprinoides (Indo-Pacific tarpon)
Lineage: Eukaryota; Metazoa; Chordata; Actinopteri; Elopiformes; Megalopidae
Product: small nucleolar RNA SNORA29
Exons: 1
Source: RefSeq, a predicted model, not a curated record